RNAcentral lists this non-coding RNA (35 nucleotides) under Nostoc sp. PCC 7120 = FACHB-418. The record is from RNAcentral. Lineage: Bacteria; Bacillati; Cyanobacteriota; Cyanophyceae; Nostocales; Nostocaceae.
GUUUCCAUCCCCGCAAGGGGUAAGAGUUUAAAAAC